Molecule: non-coding RNA, 591 nt
Organism: Lonchura striata (white-rumped munia)
Lineage: Eukaryota; Metazoa; Chordata; Aves; Passeriformes; Estrildidae
Source: RefSeq, a predicted model, not a curated record
UCUCACAAGAAGUCACAUUCUCUUCUUACUGUCCUUGCUGGAGCAUGGGAAAGAGCCGUUCAGUGGCCUUUUCCUGAUUAAAGUAUCUUUUUGAGCAUGGGUGGCCAAACCUGAACAAGCCAGUUCCAUCACAGUGGUGAUUCCAGCACAAGGAGAUAACCCCUGCACUGCUCAGGGUAGCAGUACCUGGUGUCUGGUACUCCUGGGUGCCACGGUGUCCAUGUGUGCACACAGAGCACUGACUGAAACUGGGGGAAUUCCUGCUGCAGUGUUUCCAGAGUCUUGGGGAAGACAACUUCUCAACAAGAACAAUACUGCUGAGAGCAACUGAGACCAAAGGCCUGGCCUUCAAAAUAUAUGACUUGAAAAGAAAGCUGCAUUUUUUUGGUAAGGUCCAAAUGUAUUUCAUUCAGCUUUGCUGCUACUCCCAAAGUUUAGUUGUAAACAAGUCACACAUCUGGGUAGCACUGCCUGUAACUGUCUUCAUCCUCACCAGGAAUUACUUCACAAUGUUCUGUGUGUGCAGAAAGCAGCUUGUAAGAGGUAACCUGAGCAAACUCUUACAACUGAAGAGCUUAAAUAUCUUCAAUG